AAUAGAUACCCGGGUAGUCCCAGCUGUAAACGAUGCAGACUCGGUGAUGAGUUGGCUUAUUGCUAACUCAGUGCCGCAGGGAAGCCGUUAAGUUUGCCGCCUGGGGAGUACGGUCGCAAGACUGAAACUUAAAGGAAUUGGCGGGGGAGUACCACAAGGGGUGAAGCCUGCGGUUCAAUUGGAGUCAACGCCGGAAAUCUUACCGGGGGCGACAGCAGAGUGAAGGUCAAGCUGAAGACUUUACCAGACAAGCUGAGAGGAGGUGCAUGGCCGUCGCCAGCUCGUGCCGUGAGGUGUCCUGUUAAGUCAGGUAGCGAGCGAGAUCCCUGCCUUUAGUUGCUACCAUUAUUCUCAGGAGUAGUGGAGCUAAUUAGAGGGACCGCCGUCGCUGAGACGGAGGAAGGUGGGGGCUACGGCAGGUCAGUAUGCCCCGAAACCCUCGGGCCACACGCGGGCUGCAAUGGUAAGGACAAUGAGUUUCGAUUCCGAAAGGAGGAGGCAAUCUCUAAACCUUACCACAGUUAUGAUUGAGGGCUGAAACC
RNAcentral lists this ribosomal RNA (542 nucleotides) under uncultured bacterium. Its description in RNAcentral is "bacterial SSU rRNA". It matches the Rfam family "Archaeal small subunit ribosomal RNA", at positions 728 to 1268 of the family's 1478-position model. The record is from RNAcentral.